RNAcentral lists this ribosomal RNA (207 nucleotides) under uncultured bacterium. Its description in RNAcentral is "partial 16S ribosomal RNA". It matches the Rfam family "Bacterial small subunit ribosomal RNA", at positions 568 to 774 of the family's 1533-position model. The record is from RNAcentral.
UCCGUAGGCGGAAUGGAAAGUCAGAUGUAAAAGUCCUGGGCUCAACCUGGGAAUGCCAUUUGAAACUGUCAUUCUAGAGUAUAGGAGAGGAAAGGGGAAUUUCUGGUGUAGCGGUGAAAUGCGUAGAUAUCAGAAGGAACGCCAAUGGCGAAGGCAACUUUCUGGCCAAAUACUGACGCUGAGGGACGAAAGCAUGGUUAGCGAACA